Long non-coding RNA from Homo sapiens (human), 2316 nucleotides. RefSeq annotates it as TMED2 divergent transcript. The record is from RefSeq and is marked validated. The transcript has 3 exons. Lineage: Eukaryota; Metazoa; Chordata; Mammalia; Primates; Hominidae.
AGGAAAACGACAGUGUCCGGAAGCCUCUGCAAUGCCCUCUUAGGAUUGUCCAAGAAGAUGGCGAAACAUUUGCAGGCAGCGAUAGGAGUUGAGGGAAUGUGCGGGCUGAAACUAAGUAGAGACGGGGUUUCGCCAUGUUGGCCAGUCUGGUCUGGAACUCCUGACCUCAAGUGAUCCGCCCUCCUCGGCCUCCCAAAGUGCUGAGAUUACAGAAGCUGGAGCGCAAUAGUGCAAUCUCAGCUCACUGCAACCUCCACCUCCGGGUUUCAAGCUAUUCUUCUCCCUUAGCCUCCCAAGUAGCUGGGAUUACGGGCGCCUGCCACCACACCCAGGUAAUUUUUGUAUUUUUAGUAGAGACGGGUUUUCACCAUGUUGGUCAGGCUGGUCUCGAACUCCUGACCUUCAGAUGAUCCACCCGCCUCUGCCUUCCAAAGUACUGGGAUUAACAGGCGUGAGCCUCCACACCCAGCAACUAUUGCAUUUUAUUUUACUGUAUGUAUGUAAUACCUUAACCACACACAAAAAAUUACCUUGUUCAAAUUUUCCAGAAUUAGAAUUCUACCAGUUCCCCAAAGUCUUGCUGUUUCUCCAUGCCCCUUAGCCCUUACCAGCUGCUAGAGCUGUCUUUUCAUCCUUUGCACCCUGGCACACUCCUACUCAUCCCUCAGAACCCAAAUGUCACCUCUUAUCUCUAAAAUGUUCCUUGACAUCCUUCUGCCAAAUACUAGCCCCUUCCUCUCUGUUUACAAUGCAGAUUCGGUCCUAGUGAAUUACUGUUAUUUUCUACUCUGCCUCACUCAUGAAGGCACAAGACUUGAUUUACAUACGCUGUCCUCUUCAGGCCCUGCCACAGGGCCACAGAAGGACCUCACACAUUUCAUGUCAAUUGAGGUCACUGGACUGACCUGGGAAUGAGGAGCCUGGGUUGUUACUCCACUUUUGCACAUAGAUGUGUGACCUUGAUUAUUUUCCACCACGUCCUGGCCUCGGUUUCCUUAUCUGUUAAAAGGGAAUGACACCACAGGCCUUGCAAAAUUGAAGGGAUUAUUUCUUUGAAGACCAACAGGCGAUAGGGGGCAGUAGUGUCCCAGGAUCCAGUUUCCCGCUUCAGGUUUCAAGAAACAGGAGCAGCUGCAGUGAUGAAGUUUUCCCGACUAUGACAGUGUACAGUUGACCUUGAACAACGUGGGGGUUUGGGGCACCGACCCCUGCACAGUCCAAAAUCCUGGGGUCUUUUUUUUAAUUUGACAUGGAGUCUCCCUCUGUCGCCAAGGCUGGAGUGCAGUGGCGCGAUCUCAGCUCAUUGCAACCUCUGCCUCCCGGGUUGAAGCAAUUCUCCUGCCUCAGCCGCCCAAGUAGCUGAGAUUACGGGCGCCCGCCACCAUGCCCGGCUAAUUUUUGUAUUUUUAGUAGAGACGGGGUUUCACCAGGUUGGCCAAGCUGGUCACGAACUCCUGACCUCAGGUGAUCCACCCGCCUCGGCCUCCCAAAGUGCUGUGAUUACAGGCAUGAGCCACUGCGCCUGGCCUCAUUUUUGACUCCCCAAAAACAACUUUUUUUUUUUUUUUUUUUUUGAGAUGGAGUUUUGCUCUUGUCGCCCAGGCUGGAAUGCAAUGGCACGAUCUCGGCUCACUGCAACCUCCACUUCCCAGUUCAAGCAGUUCUGCCUCAGCUUCCUGAGUAGCUGGGAUUACAAGUGCCCACCACCACGCCUGGCUAAUUUUUAUAUUUUUAGUAGAGACUGGGUUUCGCCAUGUUGGCCAGGCUAGUCUCGACUCCUGACCUCAGGUGAUCUACCCGCUUUGGCCUCCCAAAGUGCUGGGAUUACAGGCGUGAGCCACUGCGCCCAGCCCAAAAACUUAACUAUUGACAGCAUACUGUUGACCAGAAGCCUUACCAAUGACAGUUGAUUAGCAUUUUGUUUGUUUGUUUUUCGUUUUUGUUUUGAGAUGGAAUCUCGCUCUGUUGCCCAGGCUGUAGUGCAGUGAUGUGAUCUCGGUUCACUGUAACCUCUGCCUCCUGGGUUCAAGUGAUUCUCCUGCCUCAACCUCCCAAGUAGCUGGGACCACAGGCACCCGCCACCAUGCCAGGCUAAUUUUUGUAGUUUUAGUACAGAUGGGGUUUCAACAUGUUGGCCAGGGUGGUCUCGAACUCCUGGCCUCAAGUGAUCCACCCACUCUGGCCUUCCAAAGUGCUGGGAUUACAGGCAUCAGCCACUGUGCCUGGCCAAUGACAGUUGAUUAGCAUAUUUUGUAUGUUAUAUAUAUUACAUGCUGUAUCCUUACAAUAAACCAGAGAAAAGAAAUUGUUAUUAAG